CCUACGGGAGGCAGCAGUGAGGAAUAUUGGUCAAUGGACGAGAGUCUGAACCAGCCAAGUAGCGUGAAGGAUGACUGCCCUCUGGGUUGUAAACUUCUUUUAUAUGGGAAUAAAAUGUUCCACGUGUGGGAUUUUGUAUGUACCAUAUGAAUAAGGAUCGGCUAACUCCGUGCCAGCAGCCGCGGUAAUAAGGAGGAUCCGAGCGUUAUCCGGAUUGAUUGGGUGUAAAGGGAGCGUAGGUGGAUUGUUAAGUCAGUUGUGAAAGUUUGCGGCUCAACCGUAAAAUUGCAGUUGAAACUGGCAGGCUGGAGUACAGUAGAGGUGGGCGGAAUUCGUGGUGUAGCGGUGAAAUGCUUAGAUAUCACGAAGAACUCCGAUUGCGAAGGCAGCUCACUGGACUGCAACUGACACUGAGGCUCGAAAGUGUGGGUAUCAAACAGGAUUAGAUACCCUUGUAGUC
This 460-nucleotide ribosomal RNA is filed under the name uncultured bacterium. RNAcentral's name for it is "partial 16S ribosomal RNA". It matches the Rfam family "Bacterial small subunit ribosomal RNA", at positions 338 to 795 of the family's 1533-position model. The record is from RNAcentral.